This 690-nucleotide long non-coding RNA is filed under the name Homo sapiens (human). RNAcentral describes it as "HSALNT0386500". The record is from RNAcentral. Lineage: Eukaryota; Metazoa; Chordata; Mammalia; Primates; Hominidae.
CUGCAGUUGGGUAUUUUCCUUCUCCGAGGUAACUUUCUGUAAAAAAUUACAGCAGUGCAGAAGGUCUACUGGAUUAUGGCCUCCAGUUCCAUCCAUGUUGCUGCAGAAGCUAUAAUUUUAUUCUUUUGAAUGGUGAGUAGUAUUCCAUAUAUGUGUAUGUAUAUUAUAUAUAUAUGUGUGUGUGUGUGUAUGUAUAUAUAUAUGCCACAUUUUCAUCAUCCAUACCUCCUUUGAUGGAUACUUAGGUUGAUUCUAUAUCUUUGCUAUUGUGAGUAGUGUUAUGAUAAACAUACAAAUGCAGGUAUCUUUUUGAUAUAAUUAUUUAUUUCUUCUUAGGUACAUACUCAGUGGGAUUGUUUGGUUCAAUGAUAGUUCUGUUUUUAGUUAUUUGAGACAUUUCCAUACUGUUUUCCAUGAAAGCUGUACUAAUUUACAUUCCCACCAACAGUGUAUAAAUGUUCCCUUUCUUCCAAAACCUCAUUAACAUCUGUUGUUUUUUGACUUUUUAAUAAUAGAUAUUCUGACUGGUGUAAGAUGAUAUCUCCUUGUGGUUUUAAUUUACAUGUAUAUUAUGAUUAAUAAUGUUGAACAUUUUGUCAUAUAUUUCUUGUUGGCCACUUAUAUGUCUUCUUUUGAAAAUAUCCAUUCAUAAACUCUGCUCAAUCUUUAAUGGGUUUGUUUUUUCUUUUU